RNAcentral lists this unclassified non-coding RNA (2475 nucleotides) under Hevea brasiliensis (rubber tree). The record is from RNAcentral. Lineage: Eukaryota; Viridiplantae; Streptophyta; Magnoliopsida; Malpighiales; Euphorbiaceae.
AUUUUCUUGAAAAUACGAAUUCAGUGUGAAAUUGAGAGUGGGUGAUUUUCAAGGUAUGGUAGCACUUCCCUAACCACGCACGGCUGAAAACUGAACCAAACGUGCAUUAAUUUUCUCGGGUUUUAUAUAGGCGCAGCUGAAGAGCCUUUCAAUUUCUAUUAAAAAAAGGCCCUUCGAUUCGUCCAAUUUUUUAUCUGAGGAUCCCAACAGAUGUCACUGCACAACAUCCAGGCAAUAGUCAUUCACAAGCUUUCAUAUUAAUCAAUGGCAAAAACAAUGCAGGGCACCAAUUCUAUCUCUGAUACUGAGAACUCAAACGACAACCACAAGCGCGAGGGCGAUUUCGAGGAAUCAGAGUUGGGAUUAAAGAAGCAGAGAACAGAAGAAAAUGCAUUGGAGGAGAAAGCGAUAAAGAUAGAUUCAGAUAUGGAUGAAGUGAGUGAAGAAGAAACCAACCAAAAAGUUUGUAUGAAAGAAGCGAAGCAGAGUAUGGAGGUGAAGAAGGGAUUCAACAUCGAAGCUGACGCUGCAGAAGAUAAAGGUUCCAGGCAUUCCAUGGAGGAUGCUUGGGUAUUGCUCCCGGAGGCGAGCUUGGAUUCUCCAGGCACAUUGAGGUGUGCUCAUUUUGCAGUCUAUGAUGGGCAUGGAGGGCGGUUCGCUGCUGAGUAUGCUAAGAAGCAUUUACACAGAAAUGUUCUUUCAGCUGGCUUACCACGUGAGUUGUUGGAUGUGAAAGCUGCGAAAAAGGCCAUACUUGAUGGUUUUCGAAAGACCGAUGAAUCUCUCCUUCAUGAAAGUGCUUCAGGGGGAUGGCAGGAUGGUGCUACAGCUGUAUGUGUUUGGGUAUUGGGGCAAACUGUUUUUAUUGCUAACAUUGGGGAUGCUAAAGCAGUUUUAGCUCGAUCAUCUGAAGCUGGUGGAUCACUAAAUCAUACUGAUGGUGGGAAUCUGUUGAAGGCCAUUGUCUUGACUAGGGAACAUAAAGCCAUAUAUCCAAAGGAGCGUGCACGCAUACAGAAGGCUGGCGGAAUAAUAAGUUCAAAUGGACGAUUACAGGGUCGCCUUGAAGUUUCCAGGGCCUUUGGGGAUCGCCAGUUCAAGAAGGUUCAAAGUACUUCCUUUGUGCAUCAUUUACACUGCAGUUUCAUAUUGGUAGAGCAGUUGAGGUUUCUGAGAGGGUGCCAGGAGUUUUCUAUUGUGUUUUGUCUUUUGUGUACAUUUUUGCAUGUUAUUGCUAUGCAGGAGGAAAGGGUACUCUAAAAUGGGAAAAAAAUAAAAAAAAAAACUAAUUCUAUUGCUUGUGCAUAAGGGUGUAAUUUUAGAAAUUUGUUUUUCCCGGAAUGGCAAAAGAAAAGAAUUUAGCUGAAACUUGGCUGUCUAAAGAAAUUUCUGCAAAGGAGUGGUAAACAUUCUGAAAGUUGAAUUUAUGUUGAAGUAGCUCAGUGAAGCAUUAUGGAAACAAUUGAUGAAUAAAUAGAUGGCUGAUUUAGUCACAUUGAAGAUCUGAACAGAUUAAUUGAAUUUUGUUCGAGGUCAAAUCUUUAUAACAGUAUAGGUUGUACCAUGAUUUUGAUAAAGUAACUGCCUUAAUAUAUUUUGUUUCUUGUGUGUAGAUAGACAUAUAAUAUUUCAUUCUAGUCUGCUUUUCAGCAUAUAAACUUGAAUUUUUACGGGUUGCAAAACCAUAUUAAGGAACCUAUAAUGUAUGAUAUGUUGCUAUCUAAAAUAAGAGUGAGUUGCAGGUGGGCGUUGUUGCAACUCCAGAUAUUCAUUCUUUUGACCUGACAGACAGAGAACACUUCAUCAUUCUUGGUUGUGAUGGUUUAUGGGGGGUAUUUGGGCCAACUGAUGCUGUUGAAUUUGUUCAGAGAUUAUUGAAGGAGGGCUUAACUGUUACAGCUGUGAGUCGCCGUCUCAUAAGGGAAGCUGUAAUUGAGCGGCGUUGCAAAGACAAUUGCACUGCUAUAGUGAUUGCUUUCAGGCACUAGUAGCUCCAAGGUCACUCGUUUUGUCAUCCAAGAAAUAGCUUUCAGCUUCUCAUCACUUGAAAAGAGGUUUUCAAUUUUUGUUUGGUUGUAGGAACUCCCCACAUGGUUAUGGCUUUAUCUAUGCCUAGUUGAUUGAGCAUAAUGGCUUGGUCUAUUGCUGUGUAGCUAAGAAUCUAAGCCUAGCUGCUCAUACGUGGAAGUGUAACUGAACUUCUUGCAUUUUGUUUGUGGAUGCAGGGGUUUGUAGAAAUUGUCAACUUAUGAAUUAUACAUCAAUGUAAUCUAGCAACUUCAAUUUAUGUUCUUUUUUUAUUUUUUUGGACAACUUUACUGUUUGUCAAAAUCUUGUUUGAUAACACUAAAGGAAAAGAGACAUGAAAGAAAAAAAUUGCAACCUUUAUCUUAGGAUAUGAUCAUAAAUUUGCUUUUUAAGCAAAUUGGAAAAACUCGAUUGUUCCCUUCAAUGUUUUAUUUCAGUCUCUUUCGG